Molecule: long non-coding RNA, 1223 nt
Organism: Strongylocentrotus purpuratus (purple sea urchin)
Lineage: Eukaryota; Metazoa; Echinodermata; Echinoidea; Camarodonta; Strongylocentrotidae
Exons: 2
Source: RefSeq, a predicted model, not a curated record
AAAUAAAACAAUAAAAUACAUAAGUUAAAAAAACAAAGAAAUACACUGAAGUUAUCAAAUUAAUAGAAUAGAUAACAUUAGGGAUAACUUGGCUCUUCCUUUUUUUCCAAAAUUCAAAUUACCAUAGUCUACACUUCACUUAACAUGCAUGCAAAUUUUGGCAGUGAUUGGCCGUUCAACGGCCGAGAUCAUAGGGGGAGAGGGCCUUCAAAGUCCCCCUCGGGCUAUGCAGUUUCAAAAUAUCCUUAGGCUAGAUAUAUAUCACUUUUUAGAAUUAACAUUUGAAGAUUUCGUAGAAGGGGGGGGGGGGUCCAGUACAUGAAACGGAAUGGCGAGCAAAAAGAAAAAAAUAAUUGACUUUCAAAUUUUGCUGAAAAGUAACUAUUGAAGACAACUAAACUCUAUUUUAUUUGUAUUUUCUUACAUAUUUGGUUAAUAUUUAUUGAAAUGUUUAUAAAGCUGUUCCAGGGAUUGAGAAGGAGGGUUUCCUGUGGAGAGAUGGGGUGCCUUGAGGUUCCAGUCUUGAUGUUCUGCCCCUUGACUCAUAGCGGUGGAGUCUUGUGCUUAACAAUAUAGGAGCAAAGCACAAUCGACUGUUGAUUGAAUCACAACAGCAUCAAGAGAACCAACAUUUUCCAGAGACUCAGCAGCAACAACCAACAAUAGCAGGAGCAGCGGCAACAACAACAGCAGCAACAACAGCAGCAACAGCAGCAACAACAACAUCAACAGCAGCAGCAAAAGCAUCAGCGCAGCACCAGCAGCAGCAACCUGGACAACAACAAAGAUGGCAGCAGCAACAUCGACAACAAGGACAACAAAGAAAAUGCACAGUUGGUGGACAGCUGGAGCUGUUGGAGAUUGAGAGGGAGAUAUUUGGAAUAUUAAAAUUGAGGUUUAAAAGGAAAAGUUGCAAGUAAUGAUAAGAUACAAAAAUCAAAUUAAUCAAUACUAAACAAUGAACUGUAAAUUUUCUUCAUCAUUUUUAACUGCAUUUUUCAACCUUUGAGGGUUUUUUUCCUCUCAGUAGUUUAAGUAGAUCUCAAGAUAUAGAUCUAUUGAUCUAGAUUAAGUAGUCUGUUCUUUGAAAAUUGAUGGAAAAUUGACACAACGAAUGUCAUUCUGAUUUUAUUUUAUUAAUAUUCCGUUCAAUUGAGAAGGCCCUUCAACAUUAAUUUCAGCUGUUUGUUGUGUGUUUAUUUUUAUUUCGUUGUCUCUACCAA